This 252-nucleotide ribosomal RNA is filed under the name uncultured microorganism. Its description in RNAcentral is "partial 16S ribosomal RNA". It matches the Rfam family "Bacterial small subunit ribosomal RNA", at positions 524 to 776 of the family's 1533-position model. The record is from RNAcentral.
UACGUAGGUCCCGAGCGUUGUCCGGAUUUAUUGGGCGUAAAGCGCGCGCAGGUGGUUUAAUAAGUCUGAUGUAAAAGGCAGUGGCUCAACCAUUGUGUGCAUUGGAAACUGUUAGACUUGAGUGCAGUAGAGGAGAGUGGAAUUCCAUGUGUAGCGGUGAAAUGCGUAGAUAUAUGGAGGAACACCGGUGGCGAAAGCGGCUCUCUGGACUGUAACUGACACUGAGGCUCGAAAGCGUGGGUAGCAAACAGG